GCCGCGGUGGCGGAACUGGAAUACGCGUACGGUUCAGAACCGUAUGUCGAAAGACUUGUGGGUUCAAAUCCCACCCGCGGCA
This 82-nucleotide transfer RNA is filed under the name Candidatus Sungbacteria bacterium RIFCSPHIGHO2_02_FULL_41_12b. RNAcentral describes it as "tRNA-Leu". It matches the Rfam family "tRNA". Rfam says of the family: Transfer RNA (tRNA) molecules are approximately 80 nucleotides in length. Their secondary structure includes four short double-helical elements and three loops (D, anti-codon, and T loops). Further hydrogen bonds mediate the characteristic L-shaped molecular structure. tRNAs have two regions of fundamental functional importance: the anti-codon, which is responsible for specific mRNA codon recognition, and the 3' end, to which the tRNAs corresponding amino acid is attached (by aminoacyl-tRNA synthetases). tRNAs cope with the degeneracy of the genetic code in two manners: having more than one tRNA (with a specific anti-codon) for a particular amino acid; and 'wobble' base-pairing, i.e. permitting non-standard base-pairing at the 3rd anti-codon position. RNAcentral also lists the same sequence under 1 other name. The record is from RNAcentral. Lineage: Bacteria; Candidatus Sungiibacteriota.